This 1982-nucleotide long non-coding RNA is filed under the name Haliotis rufescens (red abalone). RNAcentral's name for it is "uncharacterized LOC125380982, transcript variant X2". Lineage: Eukaryota; Metazoa; Mollusca; Gastropoda; Lepetellida; Haliotidae. The record is from RNAcentral.
UCCACUAAGGUAGGUCAUUUGGACAGGAGGUACCUCCCACAGUAUUCAUCAAGGUAGGUCAUUAGGACCAGAUGUUCCACUCUCCCUCCAAUAUUCGUCAAGGUAGGUCAUUAGGACCAGAUGUUCCACUCUCCCUCAAGUAUCCACCAAGGUAGGUCAUUAGGACCAGAUGUUCCACUCUCCCUCCAGUAUUCGUCAAGGUAGGUCAUUAGGACCAGAUGUUCCACUCUCCCUCCAGUGUUCAUCAAGGUAGGUCAUUAGGACCAGAUGUUCCACCCUCCCUCCAGUAUCCAUCAAGGUAGGUCAUUAGGACCAGAUGUUCCACUCUCCCUCCAGUAUCCAUCAAGGUAGGUCAUUAGGACCAGAUGUUCCACUCUCCCUCCAGUAUUCGUCAAGGUAGGUCAUUAGGACCAGAUGUUCCACUCUCCCUCAAGUAUUCGUCAAGGUAGGUCAUUAGGACCAGAUGUUCCACUCUCCCUCCAGUAUCCAUCAUGGUAGGUAAUUAGGACCAGAUGUUCCACUCUCCCUCCAAUGUUCGUCAAGGUAGGUCAUUAGGACCAGAUGUUCCACUCUCCCUCCAGUAUUCGUCAAGGUAGGUCAUUAGGACCAGAUGUUCCACUCUCCCUCCAGUAUUCGUCAAGGUAGGUCAUUAGGACCAGAUGUUCCACUCUCCCUCCAGUAUUCGUCAAGGUAGGUCAUUAGGACCAGAUGUUCCACUCUCCCUCCAGUAUCCAUCAAGGUAGGUCAUUAGGACCAGAUGUUCCACUCUCCCUCCAGUAUCCAUCAAGGUAGGUCAUUUGGACCAGAUGUUCCACUCUCCCUCCAGUAUUCGUCAAGGUAGGUCAUUAGGACCAGAUGUUCCACUCUCCCUCCAGUUUUCGUCAAGGUAGGUCAUUAGGACCAGAUGUUCCACUCUCCCUCCAGUAUCCAUCAAGGUAGGUCAUUAGGACCAGAUGUUCCACUCUCCCUCCAGUAUUCGUCAAGGUAGGUCAUUAGGACCAGAUGUUCCACUCUCCCUCCAGUAUUCGUCAAGGUAGGUCAUUGGGACCAGAUGUUCCACUCUCCCUCCAGUAUCCAUCAAGGUAGGUCAUUAGGACCAGAUGUUCCACUCUCCCUCCAGUAUUCGUCAAGGUAGGUCAUUAGGACCAGAUGUUCCACUCUCCCUCCAGUAUUCGUCAAGGUAGGUCAUUGGGAGAGUAGGUAGCCCACACAGCAUCCGUCAAGGUAGGUCAUUGGGAGAGUAGGUAGCCCACACAGCAUCCGUCAAGGUAGAUCAUUGGGAGAGUAGGUAGCCCACACAGCAUCCGUCAAGGUAGGUCAUUGGGAGAGUAGGUAGCCCACACAGCAUCCGUCAAGGUAGAUCAUUGGGAGAGUAGGUAGCCCACACAGCAUCCGUCAAGGUAGGUCAUUGGGAGAGUAGGUAGCCCACACAGCAUCCGUCAAGGUAGGUCAUUGGGAGAGUAGGUAGCCCACACAGCAUCCGUCAAGGUAGAUCGUUUCGACAGGAGGUCCCCACCCUUCCCCCAGCAUUCGUCAGGGUAGGUCAUUGGGACAAGAGGUACCCCCUACAGCAUCCUUCAAUGUAGGUCACGUAAAGAGGAGGUUCCCCAUACGACAUCAAGGUAUGUCAUUUGAGACAGGAACCGAUUUUAUCAGUAUAUGAAAUUCCACUAAAUGUGACGAUUCCACAUCUAACAGAAUGAACUAAAAUGGACAUGAAAUAUUUGUAAAAAUUACUUUCGAAGCUUGUGUCCUUUAUGGCAAGGUGAGCUCCAAGUCCAGUCAUGACGGCAGGCAAUAAUCCUUGGAUUUCACGACAGGAAUUAUAUAGGAGACAAUUAUGUGAAUGAAUCUUCAUGGGUUAUAUAAAGUAAGCGAAGGGGUAGCUGCAGAGGAUCUGCAAAUACACCUCCAGAUUUCCACACAGGGGUAGCACCAUAUUACAUACACCCUCACCUCGUCUCUCCGUGUUGUGUGACUCU